GUUUACGUCACUUCCGGUCGCCAUCUUGAUUGGGAUGAGAAAAUUUGCACCAACUGAAUGAUUUUUCAGGCGAAGAAUAACCUUUUCGUUUUAAACUGUAAUCCAUUGACCGUCAUCUUAAAGAUUGUGUAUGAAAAGGAGCCUGAAAGACUCACAAUCAGCUGAUGAAGCAGAACGGAUACAGCUUACAUCCAACUAGCUUCAUGGCUUUUGAGGAUGUUUAAUUUUCCAACCAGCUCACAGUGAUAAAACAUCUUUCUGCUACAGGAUUGAUGACGUGAACCUGGUUCUGGUAGUCGGUGGCACACCAGUGGAGAUCAAGGGAGACAUUACCAACAAUUGAACAAUUGUUGCCACUGGGCAGUCAAGGCACCUUCCACAUGAGCAGCACAACAGUACAGCUAAGCCAAUACCUGGCGCUGGCAGCUCCAACUUUGCCCUCCGGAGCUCCGUCAUGGACGCCUGAAGCUGCUCGAUCACAAAGUCGUCCUCAAAGAAGAAAUCUUUGGCUAACGUGACCUGCAGAAACUCCACCAGCUCCUCCAUGGACAGCUUCAUCAGAAGCUGGAUGUACUCACUCUGUCCAGGAAGCACUGGAAGAACCACUUCAUGGUGUACAGGCUGAUGCUGCUUCAGUUUGGGCAUCGUCUUCUUGAGGAUCCGGUCGUGGUGUUCCUGGAAACGCAUCAACUUUGGGAAACCGGGGAUGAAAAACCCUGAAGGUUUUCUUCCAGGUUCAUCCUAGACUGGGUUCCAUUCAGAUUUCCAGAUCCUGCUGAAGAAAAGCAUCUCCUCAGCAUGAUGCUGCCACCACCAUGUUUCAUGGUCCUGUGGACAGAUUCUUCUACCUAAGCUGUGGAUCUCCUGGUCCAGCCUGUCAGUUUAGGUGGACGUCCAUGUCUUGAUAGAUCUGCAGGUAGUCCAUCCUCUCUCCGUGUUCAGAUGAAGUAUUGAACGGAGCUCUGUGAGAUGUCUCAGGGAUAUUGUUUUAGAACCUAACCGUGCUUUAAACUGAACCAGAACUUUUUCUCUAACAAACAGAAACAGAACAUCUGCAGUUAGACUCAAAUUAAAUUACACACAGCUGGACUCUGAAGGCUGCUGGUUGGGCCAUACUUAUAACAUCUUCAAUCCAUGUGUUGUUUUCUUCACAGUCAUUUUCUACUUUAUGUUUGGGAGUCAAAUAAAAUCGUAUUAAAAUCUAAUGAAGUUUGUGGUAAAACUUGUUUCUCCUUUAGACCAGAUUCAUCUGCUUCAUAAAAGCUGCUUCGUGUAUUUUUUGUGGCCAAACUCUUUACAUCUCCACCCGAGCAGCAAUGAAUCGGAUCUCACAGACCAAACGUUCUAAUGAGUCAGAUUUAGAACAGGGUGAUGAACAUUGCAGCGCUGCACAGUCUAGCCUCCAAGCAGACAUCAGUAUCAC
This is a long non-coding RNA of Girardinichthys multiradiatus, 1423 nucleotides long. RefSeq lists it as uncharacterized. The transcript is spliced from 9 exons. The record is from RefSeq and is a predicted model, not a curated record. NCBI's taxonomy places the organism in Eukaryota, Metazoa, Chordata, Actinopteri, Cyprinodontiformes, Goodeidae.